GAUAACUCGAGGCUGUGCGCACGGACGAGAUAGGGCUUGCAACAAAAACCGUAAAAUGAAACCGAUAACUGUAGAAAUAUAAUAUUUUAUUGACAAAUGGAAUGUUUUAUUCAGUUUAGAAUGUUAUUUAAAUAAAUAUUAUAUAAAAUAAACAUAAAUUUAUACAUCAAACAUUUGAUUUUGUUUUUUAAAGUUAAGAUUUGUUUGAAUACCCUUGCUUCCAUUGCCGUAAAAUAAACAAAUAACACUUAUACGUAGGUACGUAGAGAGUAUUAUAUUCCUUGUACUUAACAUUCCAGAGGCGCACUUUUUGUAUUUGUUUAUUCUCUUUUAAAAAUAAUUAAUAAAAUUAACGUAACUUUACCAACGUUUUAUAAGUUUGGAUGUAUCUAUCAAAUACGUCCACGCCGUCAUUUGACUGACAGUAUCCCGAUGACACUUAUCUCCUUCACAAUAGCAGCCUCAACUAGAAAGAGAGUAGUCUCACAAAGAUUUGUUGCCACUGAAGAGCACCGAGUAGAGACAGAACAAAUUUUGAUAGAGAAUCAGACAACACUAGUUCAUAUCUUAUAGCUAAUGAAUGAGAUAUGACUAAAUUAAAGUCAGCCAUUGUACGAUUUAAUUAAAAAAAAAUUUAAAAAAAUGUCAAAUAAUUUUUAUUCAAUUAAAUUUAAAAUAUUAUAAAUGGUAAUUCUUUAUGAUUCUACCAUCCAUUGUGAAGAAGGGGAGAAACCUCAAUUUUGGUUUUUAAAAUACUAAUAGAUUUUACAAUAAUACAUUUCUAAAAAUAUACACUGCCAAACAUAACAAGAGUUAUUGGAAUUAUUAGUUAAAUCAAGUUCAUUAUUGAAAAUAUAAGAUUAAAUUAUGUCAUUUAAUAGUCAUUAGUAAUUUUGAAAUAUAAGUUUCAUCUUAUAUAAUUUUCAAAUAAAAACACAAUUACAAUAAAAUUUUAUAAUUAUAAACUUGUUUCAAUUUCAAAUAAAUAAUUUUUAAUGAA
Long non-coding RNA from Galleria mellonella (greater wax moth), 1000 nucleotides. RefSeq lists it as uncharacterized. The record is from RefSeq and is a predicted model, not a curated record. NCBI's taxonomy places the organism in Eukaryota, Metazoa, Arthropoda, Insecta, Lepidoptera, Pyralidae. The transcript is spliced from 2 exons.